This 463-nucleotide ribosomal RNA is filed under the name Fossorella sp. New Caledonia-RC-2003. RNAcentral describes it as "partial 16S ribosomal RNA". It matches the Rfam family "Bacterial large subunit ribosomal RNA", at positions 1831 to 2597 of the family's 2925-position model. Lineage: Eukaryota; Metazoa; Mollusca; Gastropoda; Littorinimorpha; Calyptraeidae. The record is from RNAcentral.
CACUCCUUGAAUAUAAUAAGGAGCCAAACCUGCUCAGUGAAGAAAUUUUAAAUAGCCGCAGUAUCCUGACUGUGCAAAGGUAGCAUAAUCAUUUGUCUAUUAAUUGUAGACGGGUAUGAAUGGUUCGAGCGUUAAAUUCUGUCUCUAAUAUAUUUUAUUGAAUUUAACUUUAAGGUGAAGAGGCCUUAAUUUUUAAAAAAGACAAGAAGACCCUAAAAGUUUGAAAAAAGAUAGCUACAAAAUAUUUGGUUGGGGCAACUAAGUAACAUUUAAAAGCUUACUUUAUAGAUAUGAUAAUUUUGAUCCACUAUCAGUGACUACAGAAAAACUACUUUAGGGAUAACAGCAUAAUGCUUUCUUAGAGUCCUUAUCGAAGAAGGCGUUUGUGACCUCGAUGUUGGACUAGAGUUUCCUAUUAAUGCAGCAGUUAAUAAAGGUUGAUCUGUUCGAUCAUAAAAACUCU